RNAcentral lists this ribosomal RNA (501 nucleotides) under uncultured bacterium PHOS-HC41. RNAcentral describes it as "bacterial SSU rRNA". It matches the Rfam family "Bacterial small subunit ribosomal RNA", at positions 97 to 613 of the family's 1533-position model. The record is from RNAcentral.
GGCGCACGGGUGAGUAACACGUAAGUAAUCUACCCUCGAGCGGGGAAUAACGUUCGGAAACGAACGCUAAUACCGCAUAACGCAGCGGCACCGCAAGGUGACAGUUGUUAAAGGAGUAAUUCGCUUGAGGAGGAGCUUGCGGCAGAUUAGCUUGUUGGUAAGGUAACGGCUUACCAAGGCUACGAUCUGUAUCCGGUCUAAGAGGACGGUCGGACACACUGACACUGAAUAACGGGUCAGACUCCUACGGGAGGCAGCAGUCGGGAAUUUUGGGCAAUGGGCGAAAGCCUGACCCAGCAACGCCGCGUGAAGGAUGAAGUAUUUCGGUAUGUAAACUUCGAAAGAAUGGGAAGAAUAAAUGACGGUACCAUUUAUAAGCUCCGGCUAACUACGUGCCAGCAGCCGCGGUAAUACGUAGGGAGCAAGCGUUGUUCGGAUUUACUGGGCGUAAAGGGCGCGUAGGCGGCGCGGUAAGUCACUUGUGAAAUCUCUGAGCUUAAC